RNAcentral lists this long non-coding RNA (345 nucleotides) under Phoenix dactylifera (date palm). Its description in RNAcentral is "long non-coding RNA (PDAC_LNC013309)". The record is from RNAcentral. Lineage: Eukaryota; Viridiplantae; Streptophyta; Magnoliopsida; Arecales; Arecaceae.
UAUAAUGGUUGCCAUGGUUAGUGUUAUUGGUCAUCAUGAUCAAAGAAAACAAGAAUAAUAGUUUAGUCUUCUCUAACAGUCGUUACUUUGAAACGUUAGAUUCAAAUUUUGUUGAAAGAACCAAGAUUUGUUGAAAGAACCAAGAUUUUACUUCGAGGGACAGCCCAGACCUGGAAAAAAAAAGUACGGUCCUCGGAAAGGGUAUUCGUGUAAAUUUGUACGAAACGUGGGUCAAAAAUGGAAAAUUGCCGUCCCUCUCUCUUUGAGUCACAAGAACUAGUCUUGGCACUCUUCCAAAAAAAUCGCGGAAGAUAAUUAAAAAAAUUAUUUUUUUAUUAAUUAAUU